This is a non-coding RNA of Paramuricea clavata, 73 nucleotides long. The record is from the annotation of a GenBank genome assembly. Lineage: Eukaryota; Metazoa; Cnidaria; Anthozoa; Malacalcyonacea; Plexauridae.
GACCGCGUAGCUCAGUUGGCAGAGCAUUGGGCUAGUAUUCCAAAGGUCGUAGGUUCGAUUCCCACCGUGGCCG